CCAAUAGCGUAUAUUAAAGUUGUUGCAGUUAAAAAGCUCGUAGUUGAACUUCAGGCCUGUCCAGAUGGUCCGCCUUAAUUGGUGUGUACUGUCCUUGGGUGGGUCCUACCUUCUGGCGAAGCGGCAUGGCCUUAAUUGGUUGUGUCGGGGAAGCAGGACUUUUACUGUGAAAAAAUUAGAGUGUUCAAAGCAGGCAUUAUAUGCUCGAAUACAUUAGCAUGGAAUAAUGGAAUAGGACGAUGGUUCUAUUUUGUUGGUUCUAGGACCGUUGUAAUGAUUAAUAGGGAUAGUUGGGGGCAUUAGUAUUCAAUUGUCAGAGGUGAAAUUCUUGGAUUUAUUGAAGACUAACUACUGCGAAAGCAUUUGCCAAGGAUGUUUUCAUUAAUCAAGAACGAAAGUUAGGGGAUCGAAGACGAUCAGAUACCGUCGUAGUCUUAACCAUAAACUAUGCCGACUAGGAAUCGGGCGAUGUUGACAAAAUGACUCGCUCGGCACCUCAUG
Molecule: ribosomal RNA, 501 nt
Filed under: uncultured Glomeromycotina
Lineage: Eukaryota; Fungi; Glomeromycota
Description: partial small subunit ribosomal RNA
Rfam family: Eukaryotic small subunit ribosomal RNA
Source: RNAcentral